GGGAUGUAGCUCGGGCAUAGCACUUGCUUGGCAUACAAGAAGUCCUGGGUUUAAUUCCCAGUAUAUAAAAAGAAAGGUAAAAAGAAAAAAGAAAGUUAUUUUUUUUAUUUAUAUUAACAUUUUUAUUGAGGUGUAAUAUUGCAGAAAGUUGCACAAAUCUUUACUAUGCAAUGUAUAAGUUAUUUUAAAUGUGCUAACUUUAAUGCCUAUUAGAAAUCUAAGUGGAGUGGCUAGACAAGCAGUUGGAUGAAUCUAGAGUGCAACAGAAGUAUCAGGGAUAUAAUACAAAUUUUAGGAGUCCUAAGAAUACAGACAGUAUUUAAAACCAAGAGAUUAGAUGAGAUGAUUUUGGGGGAAAUGAAUGCUGAUGAAUGAGAAAAAGAGGGUGAAGAAUAUGCUUGGGGCUUCUUAAAAAUUUGGGAAGAGAAAAAUAUCUGACAAUGAGGUUGUUGGUAAUCUCAAGAGCUAUUUACAUGGUGCUGUGGAGACAGGAAUACUAAUUGGAAUAAUUCGAAGAGAAUGUAAAGAAAGUGAAGACUAGAAGUACAGGCAGUCUCUGAAGAGCAGAGGUAUAAAGGGACUCUUAUUCAUUCUGUAAAUAGAGGGGGAUACAGAGUCUAGGGUGACAGGAAGGGAAAAAUUGAACGUUCAGUAAGUAGUGGGUGUUAUCAUAGAAACAGUCUUUAAAUAUGCAAGUAAAGAUGGGUUCAGGGCACAAAUACUAGGGCUUAUCCUAGAUAAAGGGAAGGAUAGCUGAUACUCUAUAACAGGAAAAGAGUAUGUAUCAGUACAGAUGAAGGGAGGUUUGUAGAUUUCAACAUGGAAAGAUGAGUUUCUCUUGUAGCAGCUUCUACUUAGCCAUGAAACAAGCUUGAAAAGAGUGGGCAGAUGUGUGGAAGAGUUGGAGACAAGAAAUGGGACAUAAUCCUCUUGGAGAACAGAAGAAUAAAUUGACUAGCGUUAAACUGGAGGAGUUGCUGACAGAUUCAAAGAAGUUGGUGACUUAAUGGAAGUAUGCCUUCUCUAACCAAGUCCAUCACCAUCAUCUACUACCAUUCUGAAGGCCUGCUAUGUCAGAAC
RNAcentral lists this long non-coding RNA (1080 nucleotides) under Heterocephalus glaber (naked mole-rat). RNAcentral's name for it is "lncRNA (ENSHGLG00000038921.1)". The record is from RNAcentral. Lineage: Eukaryota; Metazoa; Chordata; Mammalia; Rodentia; Bathyergidae.